RNAcentral lists this unclassified non-coding RNA (155 nucleotides) under Rhypophila decipiens. RNAcentral's name for it is "partial internal transcribed spacer 2". Lineage: Eukaryota; Fungi; Ascomycota; Sordariomycetes; Sordariales; Naviculisporaceae. The record is from RNAcentral.
CAACCACCAAGCCCUGCUUGUGUUGGGGCCCUGCGGCUGCCCGCAGGCCCUGAAAACCAGUGGCGGGCUCGCUAGUCACACCGAGCGCAGUAAGCACAUUCUCGCUCAGGGCGUGCGGCGGGUUCUUGCCGUGAAACCCCCCCUGUAACUCACAA